This 573-nucleotide long non-coding RNA is filed under the name Capsicum annuum. RNAcentral's name for it is "long non-coding RNA (CANN_LNC020743)". Lineage: Eukaryota; Viridiplantae; Streptophyta; Magnoliopsida; Solanales; Solanaceae. The record is from RNAcentral.
CACUUUACAAAAUCAUGAAAUUCCAAUGAUAAAAUCAAUUCUUUGGGCACAAGAAUGAAAAGAUAUUCUUGUUCAAAAGCCCACAUACUAAUUUCUCACGAAAUUCAUGUUAAGUUCUCAAAUCAUCGAAAAUUCAUCAAUCGUAGCACGACUAAGAUUAUCGUGGAACUGACCCAGCUCUAGACCAGCAGACUAUUUCGGGCAUACGUACCCCUAGAAAUCAAUAACAUAAGUAAUACGUAGUAUACAACAACGCAUACUCACAUGCCCACAAACCAUCAUGCACCAUGCAUUCAUUAAUAUCUCACACCAAUCAUUUGAAGAUCAUAUUCAUAUACAAGUAUUGGGAUCUCAUGCCAUUACAUCGUAGAUCAUUCAACAAGGAUGUUAUGGUUAAGGAAGAAUACAACAUAACAUAGUUCAUCCAAUCGGGAUACACACAAAUAACAUACAUUCAACACAUCAUGAUUCACUUCUCAAGGUUCUUUCCUUUAAGAUUUUGAUAUAUGCAAUUCGACCCAUAAUUAGACAUUUCACGCUUAGCGUAGCCUAAUGGCCUUACCAUUUUCCUCA